RNAcentral lists this ribosomal RNA (738 nucleotides) under Escherichia coli. Its description in RNAcentral is "partial 23S ribosomal RNA". It matches the Rfam family "Bacterial large subunit ribosomal RNA", at positions 454 to 1191 of the family's 2925-position model. The record is from RNAcentral. Lineage: Bacteria; Pseudomonadati; Pseudomonadota; Gammaproteobacteria; Enterobacterales; Enterobacteriaceae.
CAUCCUCCAAGGCUAAAUACUCCUGACUGACCGAUAGUGAACCAGUACCGUGAGGGAAAGGCGAAAAGAACCCCGGCGAGGGGAGUGAAAAAGAACCUGAAACCGUGUACGUACAAGCAGUGGGAGCACAGAGCAAUCUGUGUGACUGCGUACCUUUUGUAUAAUGGGUCAGCGACUUAUAUUCUGUAGCAAGGUUAACCGAAUAGGGGAGCCGAAGGGAAACCGAGUCUUAACUGGGCGUUAAGUUGCAGGGUAUAGACCCGAAACCCGGUGAUCUAGCCAUGGGCAGGUUGAAGGUUGGGUAACACUAACUGGAGGACCGAACCGACUAAUGUUGAAAAAUUAGCGGAUGACUUGUGGCUGGGGGUGAAAGGCCAAUCAAACCGGGAGAUAGCUGGUUCUCCCCGAAAGCUAUUUAGGUAGCGCCUCGUGAAUUCAUCUCCGGGGGUAGAGCACUGUUUCGGCAAGGGGGUCAUCCCGACUUACCAACCCGAUGCAAACUGCGAAUACCGGAGAAUGUUAUCACGGGAGACACACGGCGGGUGCUAACGUCCGUCGUGAAGAGGGAAACAACCCAGACCGCCAGCUAAGGUCCCAAAGUCAUGGUUAAGUGGGAAACGAUGUGGGAAGGCCCAGACAGCCAGGAUGUUGGCUUAGAAGCAGCCAUCAUUUAAAGAAAGCGUAAUAGCUCACUGGUCGAGUCGGCCUGCGCGGAAGAUGUAACGGGGCUAAACCAUG